This 588-nucleotide ribosomal RNA is filed under the name uncultured Gammaproteobacteria bacterium. RNAcentral's name for it is "bacterial SSU rRNA". It matches the Rfam family "Bacterial small subunit ribosomal RNA", at positions 8 to 585 of the family's 1533-position model. The record is from RNAcentral. Lineage: Bacteria; Pseudomonadati; Pseudomonadota; Gammaproteobacteria.
AGAGUUUGAUCCUGGCUCAGAUUGAACGCUGGCGGCAGGCCUAACACAUGCAAGUCGAACGGUAACAGAAAGCAGCUUGCUGCUUUGCUGACGAGUGGCGGACGGGUGAGUAAUGUCUGGGAAACUGCCUGAUGGAGGGGGAUAACUACUGGAAACGGUAGCUAAUACCGCAUAACGUCGCAAGACCAAAGAGGGGGACCUUCGGGCCUCUUGCCAUCGGAUGUGCCCAGAUGGGAUUAGCUUGUUGGUGGGGUAACGGCUCACCAAGGCGACGAUCCCUAGCUGGUCUGAGAGGAUGACCAGCCACACUGGAACUGAGACACGGUCCAGACUCCUACGGGAGGCAGCAGUGGGGAAUAUUGCACAAUGGGCGCAAGCCUGAUGCAGCCAUGCCGCGUGUAUGAAGAAGGCCUUCGGGUUGUAAAGUACUUUCAGCGGGGAGGAAGGGAGUAAAGUUAAUACCUUUGCUCAUUGACGUUACCCGCAGAAGAAGCACCGGCUAACUCCGUGCCAGCAGCCGCGGUAAUACGGAGGGUGCAAGCGUUAAUCGGAAUUACUGGGCGUAAAGCGCACGCAGGCGGUUUGUUA